AACUUUUAACAACGGAUCUCUUGGCUCUCGCAUCGAUGAAGAAANCAGCGAAAUGCGAUAAGUAAUGUGAAUUGCAGAAUUCAGUGAAUCAUCGAAUCUUUGAACGCACCUUGCGCUCUCUGGUAUUCCGGGGAGCACACCUGUUCGAGUGUCAUU
Molecule: ribosomal RNA, 156 nt
Filed under: Hydnum repandum
Lineage: Eukaryota; Fungi; Basidiomycota; Agaricomycetes; Cantharellales; Hydnaceae
Description: 5.8S ribosomal RNA
Rfam family: 5.8S ribosomal RNA
About the family: 5.8S ribosomal RNA (5.8S rRNA) is a component of the large subunit of the eukaryotic ribosome.
Source: RNAcentral